AUUGAACGCUGGCGGCAGGCUUAACACAUGCAAGUCGAGCGGAGACUUCGGUCUUAGCGGCGAACGGGUGAGUAAUACCUAGGAAUCUGCCUAUUAGUGGGGGAUAACGGCUCGAAAGGGUCGCUAAUACCGCAUACGUCCUACGGGAGAAAGUGGGGGAUCUUCGGACCUCACGCUAAUAGAUGAGCCUAGGCCGGAUUAGCUAGUUGGUAGGGUAAAGGCCUACCAAGGCGACGAUCCGUAGCUGGUCUGAGAGGAUGGCCAGCCACACUGGAACUGAGACACGGUCCAGACUCCUACGGGAGGCAGCAGUGGGGAAUAUUGGACAAUGGGGGCAACCCUGAUCCAGCCAUGCCGCGUGCAGGAAGACGGACCUAUGGUUUGUAAACUGCUUUUGAACGGGAGAAAA
Molecule: ribosomal RNA, 409 nt
Filed under: uncultured bacterium
Lineage: Bacteria
Description: bacterial SSU rRNA
Rfam family: Bacterial small subunit ribosomal RNA
Source: RNAcentral